GACGAACGCUGGCGGCGUGCUUAACACAUGCAAGUCGAACGGAGAUUCAGCAAUGGAUCUUAGUGGCGAACGGGUGAGUAACGCGUAGGCAAUCUGCCUUCUAGAUGGGGACAACAUCCCGAAAGGGGUGCUAAUACCGAAUGUUGUACCGUUUCCGCAUGGAGAUGAUACUAAAGGUGGCCUCUGAAUAUGCUACCGCUAGAAGAUGAGCCUGCGUCUGAUUAGCUAGUUGGAGGGGUAACGGCCCACCAAGGCUUCGAUCAGUAGCCGGUCUGAGAGGAUGAACGGCCACACUGGGACUGAGACACGGCCCAGACUCCUACGGGAGGCAGCAGUGGGGAAUCUUCCGCAAUGGACGAAAGUCUGACGGAGCAACGCCGCGUGAGUGAAGAAGGUUUUCGGAUCGUAAAGCUCUUUCGUUAGGGACGAACGUGCUCUUUGUGAAUAAUGAGGAGUAAUGACGGUACCUAAAUAAGAAGCCACGGCUAACUACGUGCCAGCAGCCGCCGUAA
Molecule: ribosomal RNA, 512 nt
Filed under: uncultured bacterium
Lineage: Bacteria
Description: partial 16S ribosomal RNA
Rfam family: Bacterial small subunit ribosomal RNA
Source: RNAcentral